This 464-nucleotide ribosomal RNA is filed under the name Vreelandella stevensii. Its description in RNAcentral is "partial 16S ribosomal RNA". It matches the Rfam family "Bacterial small subunit ribosomal RNA", at positions 338 to 795 of the family's 1533-position model. The record is from RNAcentral. Lineage: Bacteria; Pseudomonadati; Pseudomonadota; Gammaproteobacteria; Oceanospirillales; Halomonadaceae.
CCUACGGGUGGCAGCAGUGGGGAAUAUUGGACAAUGGGCGAAAGCCUGAUCCAGCCAUGCCGCGUGUGUGAAGAAGGCCUUCGGGUUGUAAAGCACUUUCAGUGGGGAAGAAAGCCUUGGGGCUAAUACCCUCGAGGAAGGACAUCACCCACAGAAGAAGCACCGGCUAACUCCGUGCCAGCAGCCGCGGUAAUACGGAGGGUGCGAGCGUUAAUCGGAAUUACUGGGCGUAAAGCGCGCGUAGGCGGUCUGAUAAGCCGGUUGUGAAAGCCCCGGGCUCAACCUGGGAACGGCAUCCGGAACUGUCAGGCUAGGGUGCAGGAGAGGAAGGUAGAAUUCCCGGUGUAGCGGUGAAAUGCGUAGAGAUCGGGAGGAAUACCAGUGGCGAAGGCGGCCUUCUGGACUGACACUGACGCUGAGGUGCGAAAGCGUGGGUAGCAAACAGGAUUAGAUCCCGAGUAGUC